This 689-nucleotide long non-coding RNA is filed under the name Gopherus agassizii (Agassiz's desert tortoise). RNAcentral's name for it is "lncRNA (ENSGAGG00000025418.1)". The record is from RNAcentral. Lineage: Eukaryota; Metazoa; Chordata; Testudines; Testudinidae.
ACCUUCUCCAACUUACUCCUGACCUUAAAGGAAGGAUGGUCCAGUGGUUAGGAUACUAGCCUGUGACUCAGGAGGAUGCAGGGCAGAUGCUGCAGAACUUGCUUUGCUGACAAGGCGUUUGUGCCAGGAAAUGGGACAGACAAACCUGAAUCUCCUUGAAGACAUCCCUUUGUGUCACACUUUAACUCUGCGGCCAGCUGUCACUGUUGAAAGCAAGCUGAUCCCAUCAGUACAGACAUUGGAGGCUGAAAGGAUGUUUGAAUCCAAAAGAUUGAAUAAGAUUGACCUUGAAAACAAGACUGCUCAGCAAACUGAGUCUGACCUGAAAGGCAAGAGAAUUGGUGCAAGGAGGCCAGUUCCACCCUUCUGAUAGCCUCAUACCUGGCCCAGAUCUUUGAAGCCCUGGCUCCAGUCUCACUCAGGCCUCUUACUCAGUUAGAACGUCUGCCAGGGCCAACAGUGCAAAUCGUGGCCUCACUUUGUGCCAUUGUAAGCCAGCAAACAACGACCUUCAGAAAAAUUCUGCUCUGAGUAAGGACUUCAAGAAUUGAUCCAUCACUGCCAGGAAUCCUCAUGACUCAACACUUACCUGCCUAGCAAGGAUGGGCUGCCACAACUCGGUUUGUAAUACACAGAAAAGCUGGAUGUAAGAGAUGACAAGGUCAUGAAUAAAUUCCAUCCUUGUACCA